Cyanistes caeruleus (blue tit) is the source of this 1974-nucleotide long non-coding RNA. The record is from Ensembl. Lineage: Eukaryota; Metazoa; Chordata; Aves; Passeriformes; Paridae.
GACACAGCAGGGCCUGCUGGGCACGGCGGCCGGGGUCCUGCUCAGCAUCCUCCUCCUGGGCGCCGUCCUCGCCGUCCUCGCCGUCCGCCGCUUCAAGGCGCUGCUGCUGGAGGCCAGGGCCGAGCAGAGCCGCAGCAGCUAUCGCCGUUUCUGCCGCCUGGACGAUGUCUCUGCCCAGUACUGGUCCGGCUCGGGGCUGCCCUCGGCCAGCUCGCUGGACAACCCGGCCUUCAGCAACUCGGAGGAGCUGCUGCAGCUCCGGGUCCUGGACAGCGGCUGCCAGGGGGACUCGGCUGUCACCAACGGUGCCAAGCGGGGCCCGGCGCCCUGCGCCCACCCGCAGUGCCAGCCCAGGUAGGGACUCUCUUCCCAGCCCGUGGAGCAGGGCCGGGCCCGGGGCUCGCUCGGGGGGCUCUGGUGACUCUGGGCAGGGAGGGCUUUGGGGCACACAGAGCCCUGGAACCGUGUUUGCAUCCCUGCCCAGCCUGUGUCUGCUCCACCACGGACAGUGCCGGGAGCUCUGACAGCCCCCCAGCCCCUGGAGUCCUUGGAGCAGCACCUAGUUUAUUUUAUUUUCUCCCACGGGAGGAGCUGGCACUGCUGUAAGGGAGGAGAGUUCUCAUCUGCAGGAAAGGGUGGCUCUGUGUGCUCAUGGGAAAAUCAAAUCAGCUUCCAGGGGUGUCCACGGAAAAAGCCCUGGAAGUUUCCAGCUCUACUGGCAAAGGGCAGGAUGGGCAGGAACACCCCCAGCCGUGGGAGGAUCAGGAGCAAAGCCACAGCUCCGGGUGCUCCCUCAGCUCUGGGGCCUGAGCUUGGCACUGUCCCAACUUCAUCAUCCCCAGGGCACAGCAGAGUUCCUCUCCUACACCAGCCUGACUCCUACCCCCUUCUCUUGACUGUCCAUGGAUUCUUUUCCCAGUUUCCAUUACGACUGGGACACCAGCUCCAGCAGCAUGAAUGACCCCAUGGUGGACUCGGGGAAAGCCAGCGACAUCUCCGUGUCGAGCUGGCCCAUGGAGCCCAUCCAGUGGGCUCCCUUCCCUCUCCUCCACCAGCUCUCCAGGCAGCGACCGCGCAAGGCCCGCUGGCCGCAGUCGUUCUGCGAGGGGCUGGAGCUGGGCACCCUGGAGCGGAGCUGGACGGCCUGAGGCCACGGACAACGGACAGCAACGAGGUUCAGCUUUAAAACCAACCACAUUUUAUUUCCACGUAACGAGCUCAGUGAAGGAAUUCCACACACUUGGACGAUACAAUCAACACGGGUGUGAUGUCAGUGAUGUCAGUCCCAGCGGGGCGGGGGCCCGGCGAGCCCCUGCCCCGGUUCCUGUCCGGGCCUCGCACGCUCUGGCUGGGACUGCGGACUCCAGAGCAGGCAGAUACAGAGAGGUGUCAGGACACACAGUGCUGGCAUCCACCAGGUCAGGACUUACAGGGGCAGUCCGGGCAGAAAGGCUGGCGGCUCCGGAGGGCGCGUGGCGCUCGGGCCAGGACGAGCUCAGCCACACCGCGGGGAGAUGCACGAAAGCGCUGCUGCGUCGUUCAUCACCAUUCAUGUCAAUGAGGUAUAAACACCAGGAUGUUGUAAGCAUUAAAGUUUAUUUUCCAAAAUGCUCUCCUUAUUCGCACGUGUCCUCUGGAGCAUCGAGCUGGGCACAAAUGGUGGGGGCUGGAAAUGGGGCGCUGCACGGAGGGAGAGGGCAACGGGGUCCCAAAGGUGCUCGGAUAGAAAAGGAAAAGCAAGCUGCAGUUCUACACUUAGACUCUCAUAGUCUCAGAGGGGGCACGUUGAGGGAGAUUUUUGCUAGAAUAAAAUGCAGAUCUCUUCAUAAAAAAAUCAGUUUGCUAAAAGAAAAUUCAACCUAUGGGAAUACAGAGCUAUCGGAUCGGUCGAUAUUCUCAUCGUAUAGAAAACAGCCUACAAAUAAAGUCACAAAAAAUAGACAGUUAUAUGCUGAGCAGCCAAAAACAUCAUGA